AGUGAACGCUGGCGGUAGGCCUAACACAUGCAAGUCGAACGGCAGCACAGUAAGAGCUUGCUCUUACGGUUGGCGAGUGGCGGACGGGUGACGCAUACAUCGGAAUCUACUUUUUCGUGGGGGAUAACGUAGGAAAACUUCCGCUACUACCUCAUACGAUCUACGGCUGAAAGCAGGAGAUCUUCGCACCUUUCGCGUUUCAAUUAGAUGGUGUCGGAUUAGCUAGUUGGCUGGGUAAAGGCACACCAAGGCAACGAUCCGUAGCUGGUCUGAGAGGAUGAUCAGCCACACUGGAACUGAGACACGGUCCAGACUCCUACGGGAGGCAGCAGUGGGGAAUAUUGGACAAUGGGCGCAAGCCUGAUCCAGCCAUACCGCGUGAGUGAAGAAGGCCUUCGGAUUGUAAAACCCUUUUAUUAGGAAAGAAAAACAGCAUAUUAAUACCCCGCUGUUCUGACGGUACCCAAACAAUAAGCACCGGCUAACUUCGUG
This 492-nucleotide ribosomal RNA is filed under the name uncultured bacterium. RNAcentral's name for it is "partial 16S ribosomal RNA". It matches the Rfam family "Bacterial small subunit ribosomal RNA", at positions 29 to 507 of the family's 1533-position model. The record is from RNAcentral.